Non-coding RNA from Camellia sinensis, 484 nucleotides. NCBI's taxonomy places the organism in Eukaryota, Viridiplantae, Streptophyta, Magnoliopsida, Ericales, Theaceae. The record is from RefSeq and is a predicted model, not a curated record.
CUAGAGCAUACACAAUCACACCCCGCUCUUUUAUAACGAAACAAUACACAGUCCAAUUGUAGGGCUAAAUACAGAUCUGAAGGUGAAGGGUUUCGGAGUCUCUCUCUCUCUCAUCUUCUUCUUCUUGUUCUUCUUGUACAAAACACCCACACAGAACCCCACGAAGCUCAAUCGCAGAACAGAGAUUUCCUAAUGGCGCACCUCCUGGUCCUUAUUCCGGAACCAGUACUCUUGCUUUGGUGGCUCGUGUUUCUGCCUUCUCUGUAGGACUCGUUUAUGGAAGCAUGAAACUCAAGUAUCUCCAGGUACUCUUCCUAUUCCUUACCCUUGUUAUUUGGAUUUUUAAAUUUUUAAUAAUUUUCUCUCUUGUCUAAGCUUUCAUUUCUUAGUGUGUGUGUGUGUGUUUUUUUUUUUUUGUUAUUAUUAUUUUUGGAUUGAAAGAUUAAUAAGAAGAAAAAAAAAUCUAUCUCUAUAAUUGAAAAAA